RNAcentral lists this ribosomal RNA (253 nucleotides) under uncultured bacterium. Its description in RNAcentral is "partial 16S ribosomal RNA". It matches the Rfam family "Bacterial small subunit ribosomal RNA", at positions 524 to 776 of the family's 1533-position model. The record is from RNAcentral.
AACGUAGGGGACAAGCGUUAUCCGGAUUUACUGGGCGUAAAGCGCCCGUAGGCGGCCUGACAAGUUGGACGUGAAAGCUCCUGGCUUAACUGGGAGAGGCCAUUCAAAACUGUCAAGCUAGAGUCUGGAAGAGGAGAGCGGAAUUCCCGGUGUAGUGGUGGAAUGCGUAGAGAUCGGGAGGAACACCAGUGGCGAAAGCGGCUCUCUGGUCCAAAACUGACGCUGAGGGGCGAAAGCGUGGGGAGCGAACGGG